UACGGGGGGGGUAAGCGUUGUUCGGAAUUACUGGGCGUAAAGGGCUCGUAGGCGGCCAACUAAGUCAGACGUGAAAUCCCUCAGCUUAACUGGGGAACUGCGUCUGAUACUGGAUGGCUUGAGUUUGGGAGGGGGACGCGGAAUUCCAGGUGUAGCGGUGAAAUGCGUAGAUAUCUGGAGGAACACCGGUGGCGAAGGCGGCGUCCUGGACCAAUACUGACACUGAAACGCGAAAGCCAGGGGAGCAAACGGG
Molecule: ribosomal RNA, 253 nt
Filed under: uncultured bacterium
Lineage: Bacteria
Description: partial 16S ribosomal RNA
Rfam family: Bacterial small subunit ribosomal RNA
Source: RNAcentral